RNA transcript from Durio zibethinus, 1174 nucleotides. It is a transcript of the gene named insulin-degrading enzyme-like 1, peroxisomal, with no coding region annotated. NCBI's taxonomy places the organism in Eukaryota, Viridiplantae, Streptophyta, Magnoliopsida, Malvales, Malvaceae. The record is from RefSeq and is a predicted model, not a curated record.
ACCAAUCCCUUAGCACCUGUACCGAAUGGUCCUCUUUCUCUCUUUAUGAUGUCUCUUCCGGGCCCCAACACAAACCAAGAAACCUAUUUCUGGUCCUCUCUAAAACCAAACGUAAAAAAGCAGACCGGACUGCUGUUUUGUCUGUCACAGAACUGAAAAGAUAGCCGUCGGGAGAGAAGAUGUGGAGAUUAUAAAGCCCAGAACGGACAAAAGAGAGUAUUGGAGAAUCGUCCUUAGAAAUUCCCUUCAAGUCCUCCUCAUCAGUGAUCCCGACACCGAUAAGUGUGCUGCUUCUAUGAGUGUGGGUGUUGGUUCCUUCUGUGACACCGUCGGCCUUGAAGGCCUUGCCCAUUUUCUUGCAUGGAGGCAGCACAAAUGCCUUCACAGCUUCUGAGUGGACCGACUAUUAUUUUGAUGUUAACAGCAAUUGCUUAGAAGAGGCUCUGGACUGCUUCAGAAACAUCUAAGCUUGGACAGUCAUUCAUUUCAUAAAUUCAGCACAGGUUAAAACCUUUUCUUAUUUGAUCUUCUCUCCCUCCUUCACCUGCAUUCCCUUCUGUCUUAAAUCUUCUCUUUAGUUGAAUUCAUUGACUAAGCAGGCCAUAGGCCAUGCAUUCUGCUUCAUAGUUAGUCAAUUAACCUAGUGAUAUUGGAGAUAAAUUAUCAAAAACUGAAUGAAAAGGUCUGCAAUAUUAAUUUGAUGAUGAAUGAUUUAGCACUUCUACAGUUUCGAUUUUUUCCAAGACUUUGUCUGAAUAUCUUUGCUUCUGAGAUACUUGUUCUCCUUUUAGACAGAUGCUAAGAUUUUUCUACUCUUUUCUGGACUUCUUGGAUAGAUUUUAUUUCAGUGCUUAAGUACUAUACUUCAUUUUCGAGUACUCUCUUGUUUUUUAUAUGCCUUCGAUAUGCAAGGAUGGGACACUGAAAUAGAUUUUAGUUUUGAGAUACUGAUGAUCUAUUCUUUCUCUCUCAGAUAGUUUCUUUGGUGAUUUUAUCUUUUGUUCUUUUAUUUUGUUGGAUGAUACAGUCUAAAUCAAUAGUUUCAUAAAUUUAAUAUGAAAAAUAGCCUUAUAAAUUUAAAUUAAUUAAAAUUUAUGGUUGAAAAGAUUCAAUUAUAGCUUUUAAAGUCAAGUCACUAGAUCUUAAAAACUAUAUAAUUCAUGUACCAUCAAAA